This 253-nucleotide ribosomal RNA is filed under the name uncultured bacterium. RNAcentral describes it as "partial 16S ribosomal RNA". It matches the Rfam family "Bacterial small subunit ribosomal RNA", at positions 524 to 776 of the family's 1533-position model. The record is from RNAcentral.
UACGUAGGGGGCGAGCGUUGUCCGGAUUUAUUGGGCGUAAAGCGCUCGCAGGUGGUCCGAUGCGUCGUGCGUGAAAGACCCCGGCUCAACUGGGGGGCGUCGUGCGAUACGGUCGGACUGGAGGCCAGUAGGGGGAUGCGGAAUUCCGGGUGUAGUGGUGGAAUGCGUAGAGAUCCGGAGGAACACCAGCGGCGAAGGCGGCAUCCUGGACCGGCAUUGACGCUGAGGCGCGAAAGCUAGGGGAGCAAACGGG